GGAAUAUUGGACAAUGGGGGCAACCCUGAUCCAGCAAUGCCGCGUGCGUGAAGAAGGCCUUAGGGUUGUAAAGCGCUUUCGCCCGCGACGAUGAUGACGGUAGCGGGAGAAGAAGCCCCGGCUCACUCCGUGCCAGCAGCCGCGGUAAUACGGGGGGGGCGAGCGUGGUUCGGAAUGACUGGGCGUAAAGGGCGCGUAGGCGGCCAAGGCAGUCAGGCGUAAAAGCCCCGGGCUCAACCUGGGAUGUGCGCUUGAUACUGCUUGGCUCGAGACCGGAAGAGGAUGGCGGAAUACCCAGUGUAGAGGUGAAAUUCGUAGAUAUUGGGUGGAACACCAGUGGCGAAGGCGGCCAUCUGGUCCGGAUCUGACGCUGAGGCGCGAAAGCGUGGGGAGCAAA
This 397-nucleotide ribosomal RNA is filed under the name uncultured bacterium. RNAcentral describes it as "bacterial SSU rRNA". It matches the Rfam family "Bacterial small subunit ribosomal RNA", at positions 358 to 772 of the family's 1533-position model. The record is from RNAcentral.